Molecule: ribosomal RNA, 468 nt
Filed under: uncultured bacterium
Lineage: Bacteria
Description: partial 16S ribosomal RNA
Rfam family: Bacterial small subunit ribosomal RNA
Source: RNAcentral
GACGAACGCUGGCGGCGUGCUUAACACAUGCAAGUCGAACGGAAAGGCCCUGCUUUUGUGGGGUGCUCGAGUGGCGAACGGGUGAGAAACACGUGAGUAACCUGCCCUUGACUUUGGGAUAACUUCAGGAAACUGGGGCUAAUACCGGAUAGGAGCUCCUGCUGCAGGGUGGGGGUUGGAAAGUUUCGGCGGUUGGGGAUGGACUCGCGGCUUAUCAGCUUGUUGGUGGGGUAGUGGCUUACCAAGGCUUUGACGGGUAGCCGGCCUGAGAGGGUGACCGGCCACAUUGGGACUGAGAUACGGCCCAGACUCCUACGGGAGGCAGCAGUGGGGAAUAUUGCACAAUGGGCGGAAGCCUGAUGCAGCAACGCCGCGUGCGGGAUGACGGCCUUCGGGUUGUAAACCGCUUUCGCCUGUGACGAAGCGUGAGUGACGGUAAUGGGUAAAGAAGCACCGGCUAACUACGUG